CGGCGGACGGGUGAGUAACACGUGGGUAACCUACCUAUAAGACUGGGAUAACUUCGGGAAACCGGAGCUAAUACCGGAUAAUAUUUCGAACCGCAUGGUUCGAUAGUGAAAGAUGGUUUUGCUAUCACUUAUAGAUGGACCUGCGCCGUAUUAGCUAGUUGGUAAGGUAACGGCUUACCAAGGCGACGAUACGUAGCCGACCUGAGAGGGUGAUCGGCCACACUGGAACUGAGACACGGUCCAGACUCCUACGGGAGGCAGCAGCG
This 266-nucleotide ribosomal RNA is filed under the name uncultured Staphylococcus sp. RNAcentral's name for it is "partial 16S ribosomal RNA". It matches the Rfam family "Bacterial small subunit ribosomal RNA", at positions 96 to 356 of the family's 1533-position model. Lineage: Bacteria; Bacillati; Bacillota; Bacilli; Caryophanales; Staphylococcaceae. The record is from RNAcentral.